This 322-nucleotide ribosomal RNA is filed under the name Salmonella enterica. RNAcentral describes it as "partial 23S ribosomal RNA". It matches the Rfam family "Bacterial large subunit ribosomal RNA", at positions 711 to 1030 of the family's 2925-position model. The record is from RNAcentral. RNAcentral also lists the same sequence under 2 other names. Lineage: Bacteria; Pseudomonadati; Pseudomonadota; Gammaproteobacteria; Enterobacterales; Enterobacteriaceae.
AGACCCGAAACCCGGUGAUCUAGCCAUGGGCAGGUUGAAGGUUGGGUAACACUAACUGGAGGACCGAACCGACUAAUGUUGAAAAAUUAGCGGAUGACCUGUGGCUGGGGGUGAAAGGCCAAUCAAACCGGGAGAUAGCUGGUUCUCCCCGAAAGCUAUUUAGGUAGCGCCUCGUGAAUUCAUCUCCGGGGGUAGAGCACUGUUUCGGCUAGGGGGCCAUCCCGGCUUACCAACCCGAUGCAAACUGCGAAUACCGGAGAAUGUUAUCACGGGAGACACACGGCGGGUGCUAACGUCCGUCGUGAAGAGGGAAACAACCCAG